GAUGAACGCUGGCGGCGUGCCUAAUACAUGCAAGUCGAACGAGAAUCUUUUUCUUCGGAGAAAGAGGACAGUGGCGCACGGGUGCGUAACACGUAGCUGACCUGCCCUUCGCAGGGGGAUAACACAGCGAAAGUUGUGCUAAUACCGCGUAGGCUGGUGGUUUUUAGAAAGCCAUCAGUAAAGAUUUAUCGGCGAAGGAGGGGGCUGCGGUCCAUCAGCUCGUUGGUGAGGUAACGGCUCACCAAGGCGAAGACGGAUAGGGGGCCUGAGAGGGUGACCCCCCACACUGGAACUGAGACACGGUCCAGACUCCUACGGGAGGCAGCAGUAAGGAAUAUUGCACAAUGGGCGCAAGCCUGAUGCAGCAACGCCGCGUGAGGGAUGAAGGGUUUCGGCUCGUAAACCUCUUUUCUGUGGGAAGAGCAAGGACGGUACCACAGGAAUAAGUCUCGGCUAACUACGUGCCAGCAGCCGCGGUAAAACGUAGGAGGCGAGCGUUAUCCGGAAUUACUGGGCGUAAAGCGCGCGUAGGCGGUUCAUCAAGUGGUGCGUGAAAGCUCCCGGCUCAACUGGGAGAGGACGUACCAAACUGGUGAACUAGAGAAAGAUAGAGGUCGACAGAAUUCCGGGUGGAGUGGUGAAAUGCGUAGGGAUCCGGAGGAAUACCAGAGGCGAAGGCGGUCGGCUGGGUCUAUUCUGACGCUGAGGUGCGAAAGUGUGGGGAGCGAACGGGAUUAGAAACCCCGGUAGUCCACACCGUANACGAUGCAUACUAGUUGUUAGGUGCCUACGGGUGCUGAGUGACGAAGCUAACGCGUUAAGUAUGCCGCCUGGGGAGUACGGUCGCAAGGCUAAAACUCAAAGGAAUUGACGGGGGCCC
Molecule: ribosomal RNA, 880 nt
Filed under: uncultured Chloroflexota bacterium
Lineage: Bacteria; Bacillati; Chloroflexota
Description: bacterial SSU rRNA
Rfam family: Bacterial small subunit ribosomal RNA
Source: RNAcentral